This is a long non-coding RNA of Takifugu rubripes (torafugu), 2407 nucleotides long. The record is from Ensembl. NCBI's taxonomy places the organism in Eukaryota, Metazoa, Chordata, Actinopteri, Tetraodontiformes, Tetraodontidae.
GGCCAGGAGACCAGGAGCAGGAGGCCAGGAGCAGGCCAGGAGACCAGGAGCAGGCCAGGAGACCAGGAGCAGGAGGCCAGGAGACCAGGAGCAGAAGGCCAGGAGACCAGGAGCAGGAGGCCAGGAGACCAGGAGCAGAAGGCCAGGAGACCAGGAGCAGGAGGCCAGGAGACCAGGAGCAGAAGGCCAGGAGACCAGGAGCAGAAGGCCAGGAGACCAGGAGCAGGAGGCCAGGAGACCAGGAGCAGGCCAGGAGACCAGGAGCAGAAGGCCAGGAGACCAGGAGCAGGCCAGGAGACCAGGAGCAGGCCAGGAGACCAGGAGCAGAAGGCCAGGAGACCAGGAGGCCAGGAGACCAGGAGCAGAAGGCCAGGAGACCAGGAGCAGAAGGCCAGGAGACCAGGAGCAGAAGGCCAGGAGACCAGGAGCAGGCCAGGAGACCAGGAGCAGAAGGCCAGGAGACCAGGAGCAGAAGGCCAGGAGACCAGGAGCAGGCCAGGAGACCAGGAGCAGAAGGCCAGGAGACCAGGAGCAGACCAGGAGACCAGGAGCAGGCCAGGAGACCAGGAGCAGGCCAGGAGACCAGGAGCAGAAGGCCAGGAGACCAGGAGCAGAAGGCCAGGAGACCAGGAGCAGGCCAGGAGACCAGGAGCAGAAGGCCAGGAGACCAGGAGCAGAAGGCCAGGAGACCAGGAGCAGGCCAGGAGACCAGGAGCAGAAGGCCAGGAGACCAGGAGCAGGCCAGGAGACCAGGAGCAGAAGGCCAGGAGACCAGGAGCAGACCAGGAGACCAGGAGCAGGCCAGGAGACCAGGAGCAGAAGGCCAGGAGACCAGGAGCAGACCAGGAGACCAGGAGCAGGCCAGGAGACCAGGAGCAGGCCAGGAGACCAGGAGCAGGAGGCCAGGAGACCAGGAGCAGAAGGCCAGGAGACCAGGAGCAGGAGGCCAGGAGACCAGGAGCAGAAGGCCAGGAGACCAGGAGCAGGAGGCCAGGAGACCAGGAGCAGAAGGCCAGGAGACCAGGAGCAGGAGGCCAGGAGACCAGGAGCAGGCCAGGAGACCAGGAGCAGGCCAGGAGACCAGGAGCAGGAGGCCAGGAGACCAGGAGCAGAAGGCCAGGAGACCAGGAGCAGGAGGCCAGGAGACCAGGAGCAGGCCAGGAGACCAGGAGCAGAAGGCCAGGAGACCAGGAGCAGACCAGGAGACCAGGAGCAGGCCAGGAGACCAGGAGCAGGCCAGGAGACCAGGAGCAGGAGGCCAGGAGACCAGGAGCAGAAGGCCAGGAGACCAGGAGCAGGAGGCCAGGAGACCAGGAGCAGAAGGCCAGGAGACCAGGAGCAGGAGGCCAGGAGACCAGGAGCAGAAGGCCAGGAGACCAGGAGCAGGAGGCCAGGAGACCAGGAGCAGAAGGCCAGGAGACCAGGAGCAGGAGGCCAGGAGACCAGGAGCAGGCCAGGAGACCAGGAGCAGAAGGCCAGGAGACCAGGAGCAGAAGGCCAGGAGACCAGGAGCAGGCCAGGAGACCAGGAGCAGGCCAGGAGACCAGGAGCAGAAGGCCAGGAGACCAGGAGACCAGGAGACCAGGAGCAGAAGGCCAGGAGACCAGGAGCAGAAGGCCAGGAGACCAGGAGGGCAGGAGACCAGGAGCAGAAGGCCAGGAGACCAGGAGCAGAAGGCCAGGAGACCAGGAGCAGGGCCAGGAGACCAGGAGCAGGCCAGGAGACCAGGCGGUGCAGCCGUGCAUCAGCCACUCGUAGGAGAACCCAAUGAUCAGACCAGUCAGAUGCUGAGCUGUGUCAGGUCUCUGCUCAGCCUCUACAGGAGCGCAGCCUCCUCACGGGUCCCCAGGAGCUCACGUGUGCUCCGCUCCCCCACAGCAGCUGUGCUCUCCCACACGUCUCAUCAUGAGUUGCUGCGUUGCAUCAACCUAAUUAAAGCAACGCUGUGUUCAGAACAGCCUGGAGACAUUCCUGCCCACGGUGGAGGCUGUUACAUCACCCUGUUAGAGCACAGCAGCACAGCAGCAGCAGAGCAGCACAGCAGCAGAGCAACACUGCAGCACAGCAGCAGCAGAGCAGCACAGCAACACUGCAGCACGGCAGCAGCACAGCAGCACAACAGCACUGCCGCAGAGCAGCACUGCAGCACUGCAGCACAGCAGCAGAGCAGCACAGCAGCAGCAGAGCAGCAGAGCAACACUGCAGCAGAGCAGCACAGCAGCAGAGCAGCACUGCAGCACAGCAGCAGAGCAGCAGAGCAGCACAGCAGCAGAGCAGCACAGCAGCAGAGCAACACUGCAGCAGAGCAGCACAGCAGCAGAGCAACACUGCAGCAGAGCAGCACUGCAGCACUGCAGCACAGCAGCAGAGCAGCACAGCAGCAGCAGAGCAGCAGAGCAACACUGCA